This 468-nucleotide ribosomal RNA is filed under the name uncultured bacterium. RNAcentral describes it as "partial 16S ribosomal RNA". It matches the Rfam family "Bacterial small subunit ribosomal RNA", at positions 28 to 507 of the family's 1533-position model. The record is from RNAcentral.
GACGAACGCUGGCGGCGUGCUUAACACAUGCAAGUCGAACGGAAAGGCCCUUCUUUUGUGGGGUGCUCGAGUGGCGAACGGGUGAGUAACACGUGAGUAACCUGCCCUUGACUUUGGGAUAACUUCAGGAAACUGGGGCUAAUACCGGAUCGGAGCUCCUGCUGCAUGGUGGGUGUUGGAACGUUUCGGCGGUUGGUGAUGGACUCGCGGCUUAUCAGCUUGUUGGUGGGGUAGUGGCUUACCAAGGCUUUGACGGGUAGCCGGCCUGAGAGGGUGACCGGCCACAUUGGGACUGAGAUACGGCCCAGACUCCUACGGGAGGCAGCAGUGGGGAAUAUUGCACAAUGGGCGGAAGCCUGAUGCAGCAACGCCGCGUGCGGGAUGACGGCCUUCGGGUUGUAAACCGCUUUCGCCUGUGACGAAGCGUGAGUGACGGUAAUGGGUAAAGAAGCACCGGCUAACUACGUG